AUGGAGGCGCUUUCUGAGAUUCGUGCUGAGGAGACUCGCUUACGUGGUGCUGGUUUGCUGGAGGUUCCCUCUGUUCUUACUACUCGUGCUUCUACGCCACUUGCUCCACCGACCCCUUCUCGCUCGAGUGCUCCGCCGCUCUUGCCCACUCCUUCUGGAGGCUCAGGUCGCCCCCGUCCACAUUGCGCCUAUUGCAACAAUGAUGGUCAUCUUGAGUCUCAGUGCUACACGAAGAAGAAACACCUGCGCAAGGCUCGAUCAUCAUCUUCAGGGACUUCGUCAUCUACCUCGACAGCUUCAGCCAUUGCUUUGACUGAGCAGGAUAUUCUAAGACUUAAGCGUCUGCUUGCGGCUUCAGGUUCUUCCUCGACGGGUACUGCUGGUUCUGUGACUGAUGCUUCCCGCACUGAGCGAUCACCCUCUACACAGUCAGGUACAUCCUCAUGGGUUCUGGACUCUGGAGCUUCUUUUCAUAUGUCUUCUCAUUCUUCCAUUUUGUCCUCUCUUAGAUCACUCGAUUCUCCUAUUCAUGUCCUCACUGCUGAUGGUACUCCCCUUUCUGUUGCUAGUAGAGGCAAUCUUACUACUCCUUCUUAUUCUGUUCCUGAUGUUGCUCAUGUUCCUCGACUUACCAUGAAUUUGUUUUUUGCUGGUCAACUUACGGAUUCUGGUUGUCGCGUUAUCCUUGAUGUUGACUCUUGUUCUGUCCAGGACCGUCAUACGCACACUCUGGUUGGGGCUGGCCCUCGCCGCCGUGAUUCUCAGGGUCUUUGGGAGUUGGACUGGCUUCAUGUUCCUUCUGCUGCCACCACCAUCGCCGGUUCUCCCGCUUCUGUUGCCUCCGUCACUGGUUCUUUCCAGCAGUGGCAUCAUCGACUUGGUCAUCUGUGUGGUUCUCGGUUGUCUUCUUUAGUUCGUCGAGGCCUUCUGGGGUCUGUCUCAGGAGAUGUCUCUUUAGAGUGUCAGGGUUGUCGUCUUGGCAAGCAGAUUCAGUUACCAUAUUCACAUAGUGAGUCCGUGUCUAAGCGUCCUUUCAAUUUAGUCCAUUCUGAUGUAUGGGGUCCGGCCCCUUUCGCUUCGAAAGGUGGUCAUAAAUACUAUAUUAUUUUCAUAGAUGAUUUCUCUCGUUACACAUGGCUUUAUUUCAUGACUUCUCGUUCUGAGGUGUUGUCUAUUUAUAAGCGUUUUGCUGCCAUGGUUCAUACUCAGUUCUCUUCACCCAUUCGUGUUUUUCGUGCUGACUCUGUUGGCGAGUAUAUCUCUAAGAUGUUGCGUGGUGUUCUUGCUGAGCACGGGACUCUCUCUCAAUUCUCUUGUCCUGGUGCUCAUGCUCAGAAUGGUGUGGCUGAGCGAAAGCAUCGACAUCUUCUUGAGACGGCUUGUGCAUUGAUGAUUGCUGCCUCUCUCCCGCCUCAUUUUUGGGCUGAGGCCGUCUCCACAUCCACCUAUCUUAUCAAUAUACAGCCUUCCGCUGCUCUAUAG
This 1482-nucleotide ribosomal RNA is filed under the name Triticum aestivum (bread wheat). RNAcentral describes it as "partial small subunit ribosomal RNA". Lineage: Eukaryota; Viridiplantae; Streptophyta; Magnoliopsida; Poales; Poaceae. The record is from RNAcentral.